Molecule: transfer RNA, 64 nt
Filed under: Rhagophthalmus giganteus
Lineage: Eukaryota; Metazoa; Arthropoda; Insecta; Coleoptera; Rhagophthalmidae
Description: tRNA-His
Source: RNAcentral
AUUUAAAUAGUUUAAUAAAAAUUUUAGUUUGUGGUUCUAAAGAUGCAUAGAAAUGUUUUAAAUU